AACCUGGUUGAUCCUGCCAGUAGCCAUACGCUCGUCUCAAAGAUUAAGCCAUGCAUGUCUAAGUAUAAACAAUUUUAUACGGUGAAACUGCGAAUGGCUCAUUAUAUCAGUUAUAAUCUAUUCGAUAGUACCUUACUACUCGGAUAACCGUAGUAAUUCUAGAGCUAAUACAUGCCUAAAGACCCAACUGCUUGUCGGACGGGUUGCAUUUAUUAGAUUGAAACCAAUACUCUUCGGAGUUUUUGAGUUGAGUCAUAAUAACUGUGCGGAUCGCGUUUUUCGCGAUA
RNAcentral lists this ribosomal RNA (287 nucleotides) under uncultured marine eukaryote. Its description in RNAcentral is "partial 18S ribosomal RNA". It matches the Rfam family "Eukaryotic small subunit ribosomal RNA", at positions 1 to 292 of the family's 1831-position model. The record is from RNAcentral.